AGUGAACGCUGGCGGUAGGCCUAACACAUGCAAGUCGAACGGCAGCACAGUAAGAGCUUGCUCUUACGGGUGGCGAGUGGCGGACGGGUGAGGAAUACAUCGGAAUCUACUUUUUCGUGGGGGAUAACGUAGGGAAACUUACGCUAAUACCGCAUACGACCUACGGGUGAAAGCGGGGGAUCUUCGGACCUUGCGCGAUUGAAUGAGCCGAUGUCGGAUUAGCUAGUUGGCGGGGUAAAGGCCCACCAAGGCGACGAUCCGUAGCUGGUCUGAGAGGAUGAUCAGCCACACUGGAACUGAGACACGGUCCAUACUCCUACGGGAGGCAGCAGUGGGGAAUAUUGGACAAUGGGCGCAAGCCUGAUCCAGCCAUACCGCGUGGGUGAAGAAGGCCUUCGGGUUGUAAAGCCCUUUUGUUGGGAAAGAAAAGCAGCAGGUUAAUACCCCGCUGUUCUGACGGUACCCAAAGAAUAAGCACCGGCUAACUUCGUG
RNAcentral lists this ribosomal RNA (492 nucleotides) under uncultured bacterium. RNAcentral describes it as "partial 16S ribosomal RNA". It matches the Rfam family "Bacterial small subunit ribosomal RNA", at positions 29 to 507 of the family's 1533-position model. The record is from RNAcentral.